AGUGAACGCUGGCGGUAGGCCUAACACAUGCAAGUCGAACGGCAGCACAGUAAGAGCUUGCUCUUACGGGUGGCGAGUGGCGGACGGGUGAGGAAUACAUCGGAAUCUACUUUUUCGUGGGGGAUAACGUAGGGAAACUUACGCUAAUACCGCAUACGACCUACGGGUGAAAGCAGGGGAUCUUCGGACCUUGCGCGAUUGAAUGAGCCGAUGUCGGAUUAGCUAGUUGGCGGGGUAAAGGCCCACCAAGGCGACGAUCCGUAGCUGGUCUGAGAGGAUGAUCAGCCACACUGGAACUGAGACACGGUCCAAACUCCUACGGGAGGCAGCAGUGGGGAAUAUUGGACAAUGGGCGCAAGCCUGAUCCAGCCAUACCGCGUGGGUGAAGAAGGCCUUCGGGUUGUAAAGCCCUUUUGUUGGGAAAGAAAAGCAGCAGGUUAAUACCCCGCUGUUCUGACGGUACCCAAAGAAUAAGCACCGGCUAACUUCGU
RNAcentral lists this ribosomal RNA (491 nucleotides) under uncultured bacterium. RNAcentral's name for it is "partial 16S ribosomal RNA". It matches the Rfam family "Bacterial small subunit ribosomal RNA", at positions 29 to 506 of the family's 1533-position model. The record is from RNAcentral.